GGUGCAUUGGACAAGGGGUUAAGUCACUACACUUUCAAUGUAGUAAUCACAGGUUCAAAUCCUGUAUGCACUA
RNAcentral lists this transfer RNA (73 nucleotides) under Crassvirales sp. RNAcentral describes it as "tRNA-Glu". It matches the Rfam family "tRNA". Rfam says of the family: Transfer RNA (tRNA) molecules are approximately 80 nucleotides in length. Their secondary structure includes four short double-helical elements and three loops (D, anti-codon, and T loops). The record is from RNAcentral. Lineage: Duplodnaviria; Heunggongvirae; Uroviricota; Caudoviricetes; Crassvirales.